GUGGCGGUGGGGACGGCGUGAGGGGAGCGCUGCGGGGACCGGAGCGGGGGAGAGGCGGCGCUCCUGAGAAAGGCGUUUGCUUGGGAAUAAGGAAGGUUUGGACCCCGGCGCAUGCUGGGGGUUUCGUUCACGCCUCAGGUUUUAGGCUUCUCCGCUCUGGGAGCGGCUGACGGGAUCCUUGUGGCCCCGCGGGCUCUCCCUGGGCAGGGCAUUUGUUUGGGAAUAAGGAAUGGAUGUACCCCGGGAGGCGAUGAACCCGUCCCUCGGGAUGUCCCGGUGGGUUUGUUCGUUCGGUGCACUCUGAGCCCGAGCUCUCCACGCUCUCCCGCAUCCUCGGAGGGAGUCAGAUAAAGCUUGGAGUCUGGAAGGGGCCUGGUGGGAGGAAGGCGGAGGCUGCCGAGGUCAGCGGCUGUGCCGGGUGUCGGUGCCAGCCCGCCGGGACAGUCGGGUGUCUGUCACCAGAGGAUCAUUGACCGCUGUGCCUCAGGAAAGGGAUUUGAGCUCAGUGUCCCAAAUAGGAGCCCCUCACUCGUGCCUUUGGCGACUAAAGCUGCCAUAGCCGCGGUUCAGGAGCAGACUGAAAUUUCCCCAAAUUCUGGUGCCAGCAGAAAGCGUCGUGGAAAGGCGCAGGGGUUUCCAGGAGUGUUCGCAGUGCCGCGCUCCUGCUCUGGUCAGUCGCCGCUCGGGUCCCCUGGUUGCCGCGGGGAGAACAGAGUGGCUGUCACAUUACACCGACCCUGGCAGAUGGCAGCCGGAUGAAAUUGCUCUGAGAAGUUCUGUACACGAUAUGUCAGUAGGCAAACAAGGUUUUAAGUUUAGAAUUUUUUUGCUCCACAAAGCAUUUUCGUUUGAGCUGCCAGUGAUGAGCCUCAGAAUAAGCUCCUAGCACUUGGGCUAUCUCUUCCUUUGUUUCUUUUGAAAAUGUAAACCAGGCCGACUGCAGUUCAGUGUUCAUGUCAACAGCAGCAAAGAAUAGAUUUCCUGUAUCCAGACAACUCUGCUUUUUCCUCAGAUGUUUCAAGUUCCACCACUGUGAGAGUGUGUCCUCAACCUGUAUUUCUGGGCCUGAUGGGGAAAAUGGCAUCUGCAUUGAAGGAAGAACAUUUCACAGCAUGUAUUUCAGCAGUAGUCGAUUCACAUCCAGUCCCAGACUGAAAUCCAGAAGUUCCAGUGAUUUAGACUGCCCGGGAGUGCUGACAGCCCAUCUUGCAUUACAAAUCCACAGGAGCUCUAAGAGUGAAAGUCUGAGCUAA
This 1253-nucleotide long non-coding RNA is filed under the name Catharus ustulatus (Swainson's thrush). Its description in RNAcentral is "lncRNA (ENSCUSG00005007567.1)". The record is from RNAcentral. Lineage: Eukaryota; Metazoa; Chordata; Aves; Passeriformes; Turdidae.